This 1000-nucleotide ribosomal RNA is filed under the name uncultured organism. RNAcentral describes it as "bacterial SSU rRNA". It matches the Rfam family "Bacterial small subunit ribosomal RNA", at positions 356 to 1376 of the family's 1533-position model. The record is from RNAcentral.
GGGGGAUAUUGCGCAAUGGGGGCAACCCUGACGCAGCAACGCCGCGUGAAGGAUGAAGGUUUUCGGAUUGUAAACUUCUUUUAUUAAGGACGAAACUUGACGGUACUUAAUGAAUAAGCUCCGGCUAACUACGUGCCAGCAGCCGCGGUAAUACGUAGGGAGCAAGCGUUGUCCGGAUUUACUGGGUGUAAAGGGUGCGUAGGCGGCUUUGCAAGUCAGAUGUGAAAUCUAUGGGCUCAACCCAUAAACUGCAUUUGAAACUGUAGAGCUUGAGUGAAGUAGAGGCAGGCGGAAUUCCCCGUGUAGCGGUGAAAUGCGUAGAGAUGGGGAGGAACACCAGUGGCGAAGGCGGCCUGCUGGGCUUUAACUGACGCUGAGGCACGAAAGCGUGGGUAGCAAACAGGAUUAGAUACCCUGGUAGUCCACGCUGUAAACGAUGAUUACUAGGUGUGGGGGGUCUGACCCCUUCCGUGCCGGAGUUAACACAAUAAGUAAUCCACCUGGGGAGUACGGCCGCAAGGUUGAAACUCAAAGGAAUUGACGGGGGCCCGCACAAGCAGUGGAGUAUGUGGUUUAAUUCGAAGCAACGCGAAGAACCUUACCAGGUCUUGACAUCCAACUAACGAAGUAGAGAUACAUUAGGUGCCCUUCGGGGAAAGUUGAGACAGGUGGUGCAUGGUUGUCGUCAGCUCGUGUCGUGAGAUGUUGGGUUAAGUCCCGCAACGAGCGCAACCCUUGCUAUUAGUUGCUACGCAAGAGCACUCUAAUAGGACUGCCGUUGACAAAACGGAGGAAGGUGGGGACGACGUCAAAUCAUCAUGCCCCUUAUGACCUGGGCUACACACGUACUACAAUGGAUGUUAACAGAGGGAAGCAAGACAGCGAUGUGGAGCAAACCCCUAAAAACAUUCUCAGUUCAGAUUGCAGGCUGCAACCCGCCUGCAUGAAGUCGGAAUUGCUAGUAAUCGCGGAUCAGCAUGCCGCGGUGAAUACGUUCCCG